AUUGAACUGAUGGUUACUAGUCCUCGACGGUUACUUGCUCUGCCAAAUAAACUAUUAUUUUUGAAGCACAAAAUCGUAUUGCAGUUAUCUUUAAAAAGCUCCCUGGAAUGUGUUUGGUGAAAUGUGGUACCUACAUCUUUUCGGCUAUAAAUCGUUCUGCAAAUAAAGGAAUACGUUUCGACGUUUGUCCUGGAUUACAUUAAAACUGAAAACAAUGUAUGAUCUUGUCAUUCCUGCCGUUUGAAUCUAGGAUGGAAUGAAAAAAAAAUCGGGCAUUCAGGAAAAAAUGUUCAAGUGGAACCAAUAUAAUAUAGAGUUUCAUAACCAGUCGGAAAUUGUUAAAAAAUCAUACCUACUUGCGCAAAUCCAGUGACUGCUGACUAUGCGUCUUCCUGAUGGUCAGUAGGUGACACUUUGGAGAAACAGCGCUUUCUCUUCAGAGCCCAUAUCAGUUGGAACUAACAUGGUUAACCCCCUCAAAAAGGCACCGUACACUGCUUUUUUGUACCAUCAUUGUUGGGUGCGAUAGUAGUGGCGAUAAUAUGCUAUGUGAUCACGUAACUGACUAUUCUUUUACAAUGUCGGAAAACUGCAUCUUUUGACAAUCCUAAGAAAAAAAGUACAAAGACUUUAGCUGGUGCAACAAGCAUGUUACCACGAUUGACAAACAGACCACCGCGAUUCUCAACCACAUGGCCUUUUCAAUUCUGUACAUUACUUCCUGAGAGAAACAUCUCCUUUGGUCAAUGUUGAGAUACCAAUCUGAAAAAUUCGUCGCGAAGCCAAUAUGCUGGUGUCAAUUACGCCAAAAUUCACCUGUGUCAUUAAUCGAUGUAGCUAGAGGCACUAGAGAUGUGCAAAUGAGGACAACGGCCAGCGUAAUUCUACCGCCGUGGAAAAUUCUACUUUUUGUUUUUUAGCAAAAUGUUUUUUGGUUUUAUCAAAUUUGUUUGCUAAUACUUUUACUGCCGCUAGGAGCAUUAUUGUCCCAUGUGUAUAGGGAUUCCCAUAGCACAUGGGACAGUUAUGCUUCUAGCGGCAGUUUGCUACAAGUACAUUUUGAUAAAUUUACGAUUUUUUAAGAAUUUUCAUUUGCAAUUAGUCCGCAUAAGAAUAUUCAAGCUAGUUUAAUAUAACGCAACGAAUAAUUAUAGUUAAGGUAGACGAGCCGUUAUCCAUCUCAUUAGUCAGGGUAGCUCGUUAUUUCGAUGAUAACUUGGCUUACAGUGUUUGGAGUGCGCUUAAAUAAGUAUCAACAUCUUUGCUUCGUUCCUAAGAAGCAGAUCCAUAAAAAAUCUAGCUUGAAAAAUGUAAAUUAUUCGCGCUUAAGCGAAGCAAAAAGUCGAGUACAAGGCACACUUCAUCUUACUAUUUGAACUAAUGCAUUGAAUAGAGAUAGCUCUGCUCUAACUAAUUUGUUCAAAUGGGUGGGAUGAUCAGAGAUGCUAAGAUGAAUUAGGGCACAGUAACCCUACUUAGAGACUGCGUAGUGAAAAUCAAAUGUAUGAUUCCUAACCAAUAUCUGAACAUUAUUUGGGACGUUGGACGAAUAUCAAUGCUGUUUUUAUCCUGCAUGUUACUCAUAGUAUGAGAUGUUCCUUUAUUACUGAAAUUGUGCUGCCAAUGUUCGCAUAACUGUCCCAUGUGCUAUGGGAUUCCCUAUACACAUGGGACAAUUAUGCGUAGAGCGGCAAUGUAAGUUCCGUACAAUCCAGCGAAAACGACACAUCAAACUUCACUUGACACAUCAAUGACAAAAAUUACAAAAAACGUGUCUUUGAUAAUUUCUUUUGACGAUACAAUGCGUGUUGGCCUAUUCAGUCAUUUUCCGUAGGCCGUUUUGAAACAACAAAACGUUUAGCUGAAACUAGACGAAUGAAUGUUUUAAACUAAAAUGAGCGUUUCUCGAUAGUAUGUAAUUGGUUUAGUUCAAGUGUUCUUAUUUUAAAUAGAAACAUUGUUGAAACAAAAUAAAAGGUUUCGAUAACGCGGCAGCAUAGCUCUUCCAAUCAAUGUUUCGGUCAUACAAAACAAUGGUUGGAUCCGAUGGCCUUGAAUCAGAGUUGCUUGCUAUCACCAUCGGUAGGUGGUCACUACAGAUAUUAUCCUCCACUUGCUUCACUUGUUUGCACCGGUAGUUUAGGAAUCCGUAUCAUUUCCCCUGUGUUCAGAAUUGUCAUAUUAAAAUUGCCACAAAAAUCUUGAACCGUCAAAGAUAGAUUAUCGUCGAACAGACAGACCCGUCCUGUACCGUUGUACAGUGAUCCCAAACUAACAAAAAAGACGGUCAAAAGUCUUUCCUGAGUUUCACAGGUGUUUUCAUGCUUUGAUGUCUUCAGGAAAGUUUCCUAGGAUUGCAUCCUGAAUCUUUUAGGAUGGGUACCUUAAUUUUGCUUAAGGUGAAAAUGCCAUUAAAAAAUGUUUUAGCUCAACAAAAAAAACAUUUUUUGCUUGGAAUCUUGUAGAGUCAAUUUAUUUUGAGCAACUUUGGUGAACGGCAGUCGUGGUGAGGGAAGGAGUUCAAUCACGCUAGAAGAGUUGAGGUUAAUAUUAGAAGUGAACAGGCAUAGGGGAAAUCAUCACAAUUAUUCGAGAUUAUUAUAAUCUAGUAAACAUUAUAAUCUAGUAAAUAUUUUAAUGUAAUAUGUAAUGUAAGUUUAAUAUUUUGGGAAUAAUACUUCUGCAAUUCCACUGGAAAACAAUGAUCGGAUCCGUGAUUUGGUUUAAUAAGUUAGCCACCGAAGGAUACAUACGCUGCAUGCAGGGGCCAUUGU
This is a long non-coding RNA of Topomyia yanbarensis, 2774 nucleotides long. RefSeq lists it as uncharacterized. NCBI's taxonomy places the organism in Eukaryota, Metazoa, Arthropoda, Insecta, Diptera, Culicidae. The transcript is spliced from 4 exons. The record is from RefSeq and is a predicted model, not a curated record.